AACGAACGCUGGCGGCAUGCCUAACACAUGCAAGUCGAACGAGACCUUCGGGUCUAGUGGCGCCCGGGUGCGUAACGCGUGGGAACCUGCCCUUAGGUUCGGAAUAACUCCCCGAAAGGGGUGCUAAUACCGGAUAAUGUCUUCGGACCAAAGAUUUAUCGCCUUUGGAUGGGCCCGCGUUGGAUUCGCUAGUUGGUAGGGUAAAAGCCUAUCAAGGCGCCGAUCCAUAGCUGGUCUGAGAGGAUGAUCAGCCACACUGGGACUGAGACACGGCCCAGACUCCUACGGGAGGCAGCAGUGGGGAAUAUUGGACAAUGGGCGAAAGCCUGAUGCAGCAAUGCCGCGUGAGUUAUGAAGGCAGGAGGGUUGUAAAGCUCUUUUACCCGGGAUGAUAAUGACAGUACCGGGAGAAUAAGCUCCGGCUAACUCCGUG
Molecule: ribosomal RNA, 433 nt
Filed under: uncultured bacterium
Lineage: Bacteria
Description: partial 16S ribosomal RNA
Rfam family: Bacterial small subunit ribosomal RNA
Source: RNAcentral